Molecule: non-coding RNA, 72 nt
Organism: Bos taurus (domestic cattle)
Lineage: Eukaryota; Metazoa; Chordata; Mammalia; Artiodactyla; Bovidae
Source: Rfam
AGUCAAGUGGUUUAGUGGAAAGAACAGUGGAUUAGAAGUCAAGAGGACUGGAUUCUAGCUCCAGCUUCACCA